GACGAACGCUGGCGGCGUGCUUAACACAUGCAAGUCGAACGGAAAGGCCCUGCUUUUGUGGGGUGCUCGAGUGGCGAACGGGUGAGUAACACGUGAGUAACCUGCCCUUGACUUUGGGAUAACUUCAGGAAACUGGGGCUAAUACCGGAUAGGAGCUCCUGCUGCAUGGUGGGGGUUGGAAAGUUUCGGCGGUUGGGGAUGGACUCGCGGCUUAUCCGCUUGUUGGUGGGGUAGUGGCUUACCAAGGCUUUGACGGGUAGCCGGCCUGAGAGGGUGACCGGCCACAUUGGGACUGAGAUACGGCCCAGACUCCUACGGGAGGCAGCAGUGGGGAAUAUUGCGCAAUGGGCGGAAGCCUGAUGCAGCAACGCCGCGUGCGGGAUGACGGCCUUCGGGGUGUAAACCGCUUUCGCCUGUGACGAAGCGUGAGUGACGGUAAUGGGUAAAGAAGCACCGGCUAACUACGUG
RNAcentral lists this ribosomal RNA (468 nucleotides) under uncultured bacterium. RNAcentral describes it as "partial 16S ribosomal RNA". It matches the Rfam family "Bacterial small subunit ribosomal RNA", at positions 28 to 507 of the family's 1533-position model. The record is from RNAcentral.